RNAcentral lists this ribosomal RNA (349 nucleotides) under uncultured eukaryote. RNAcentral describes it as "bacterial SSU rRNA". It matches the Rfam family "Eukaryotic small subunit ribosomal RNA", at positions 68 to 416 of the family's 1831-position model. The record is from RNAcentral.
AAGUUUUAAUAUGGUGAAACUGCGAAUGGCUCAUUAAAGCAGUGAAAGUUUAUUUGAUGGCCCCUCUUACAUGGAUAACGGUGGGAAUACUAGAGCUAAUACAUGCACCAAAACCCGACUUCGGAAGGGUUGUGUUUAUUACAUACAGAACCAUCCCAUGCUCCGCAGGGCUUGGUGGUGACUCAUAAUAACUCAGAUGAAUCGGAUGGCUUGCGCAGACGAUGCAUCACUUCAAGUUUCUGACCUACCGCCUUCCGACGGUAGGGUAUAGGCCUACCGAGGCAACGACGGGUAACGGAGAAUAAGGGUUGGAUCCGGGAGAGGGAGCCUGAGAAACGGCUACCACAUC